CAGCAGCCGCGGGAAUACGAAGGGUGCAAGCGUUAAUCGGAAUUACUGGGCGUAAAGCGCACGCAGGCGGUUUGUUAAGUCAGAUGUGAAAUCCCCGAGCUUAACUUGGGAACUGCAUUUGAAGCUGGCAAGCUAGAGUCUUGUAGAGGGGGGUAGAAUUCCAGGUGUAGCGGUGAAAUGCGUAGAGAUCUGGAGGAAUACCGGUGGCGAAGGCGGCCCCCUGGACAAAGACUGACGCUCAGGUGCGAAAGCGUGGGAAGCAAACAGGAUUAGAUACCCCUGUAGUCCCUGUCUCUUAUAC
Molecule: ribosomal RNA, 301 nt
Filed under: uncultured bacterium
Lineage: Bacteria
Description: partial 16S ribosomal RNA
Rfam family: Bacterial small subunit ribosomal RNA
Source: RNAcentral